Molecule: ribosomal RNA, 484 nt
Filed under: uncultured bacterium
Lineage: Bacteria
Description: partial 16S ribosomal RNA
Rfam family: Bacterial small subunit ribosomal RNA
Source: RNAcentral
AUUGAACGCUGGCGGCAGGCCUAACACAUGCAAGUCGAGCGGAUGAAGGGAGCUUGCUCCUGGAUUCAGCGGCGGACGGGUGAGUAAUGCCUAGGAAUCUGCCUGGUAGUGGGGGAUAACGUCCGGACACGGGCGCUAAUACCGCAUACGUCCUGAGGGAGAAAGUGGGGGAUCUUCGGACCUCACGCUAUCAGAUGAGCCUAGGUCGGAUUAGCUAGUUGGUGGGGUAAAGGCCUACCAAGGCGACGAUCCGUAACUGGUCUGAGAGGAUGAUCAGUCACACUGGAACUGAGACACGGUCCAGACUCCUACGGGAGGCAGCAGUGGGGAAUAUUGGACAAUGGGCGAAAGCCUGAUCCAGCCAUGCCGCGUGUGUGAAGAAGGUCCUCGGAUUGUAAAGCACUUUAAGUUGGGAGGAAGGGCAGUAAGUUAAUACCUGGCUGUUUUGACGUUACCAACAGAAUAAGCACCGGCUAACUUCGUG